UUUUUUUUCCUUUUAUUUUUUAUUUUUUUGCAUGGGAUCAUAGAGAUGUUAUAUGAGCAAGUUGGGUAAAUUUUGAACCCAUCAAAAUAAAUUGAGUCGAAAAAUAAAUCCUAACCCAACUCAUUUAAAGUUUAUAUGAGUUGAGAUGGGUUAUGCAAAGUAUUAUAACUCCAUUCGUCUAACUCAAGUUUCGACUAUCAAAUUUUCCAAGGAUACAACUGCGAUCCCUAAAAAACUUUAAUUAGCAAUCCAACUCAAUUUUUUUUCUACCAAACCAACAGAAAUUAUUGGUUUGCAAGUUCCUUAUUUUUGGUAGGAGGGAAUACACGCAGCCGUCACAAUCUCUGCCGCAGUCUCUGAACUUCGAGUGAGCACUUUGUGCGCAAUGAGUAAACCUCCCUCGGGGGAUGUAAACUACACUAAGCAAGGCCUGUGCAACAGGGUCAACCCAAUAGGCAUUGAGGAGGGAAUCGUUCUCAAGUCAUCCGCAUGGAUAACCACCCUCCAAACCAACUGGGAAUCGAUCCCAGGUCAUCCUAUGCAAGGGCAUAUGCUAUAACUCUGUUAUCAUAUCUUUAGACAAGGAAUAACUUUAGUUUAUUGAUUUUUUUGAAUCUUAAGUUACAAAAGGCCCUGGGUGAGUAUUUGGAAAAGUAAAAUGUACUAGUUGAGGUUUGAUCCUUUGAUCUCUUAGAGAAAAAUUAAGCAAAUUAUCAACACAUUAAGACAAAAAUUAUGUCAAGUAAUGUCAUUUUUUCCUAGUUAUUUGUUUCCGUAUAGUAUAAAUACAUAUACUUAAUAAACAUAAAUAACCGUCCCAAACCAACUGUGCAAGUUUGGUGUUGUAAAUCUUUUUACAUAGAAGAAAGAGAUACCUUCAGCAAAUUUUUUUUAAAAAAAAAAAAGAAAAAAAAGAAAGAAAGAGAUAGGAGUAUAUAGUUAAAACCCCAUUGGGUAUAUUAUUGGCUAUACCGUUGCUGCUCCAUACUUUUUUCAGCAAUGAAGACAACUGAAGACGAAGGUUCAGUGAGAAAAGUAAUAUGUUAAAGGAAUUAGUUUAAUGGACGUCAAGAUAUUUUUGUUUUUUACCCGUUAAAUAAGUUAGUAUUGUUUUUGCUGUUAGUACUGUAGUUAUUAUGGCAUGUAGUACUCUUGCAAGUGGCCUCUGAUUGAACAUCUCAAUGAGUGGGAAGUCAGUAAAUGUUAAAUCUAACAAAAUAAAUCACAGUGGGGGGAGAAACCAUUACAGAAUGCAGCCAAUCCAGACCCCUUAGCAAAGAAUUUAUAAGACUAAAAAGAUGAUCCAUUUUGGUGCCUAAUAUAUCUAGAAGAUGAAAUCAGUAGCUCAGAACACCACAGCAUAAAUUUGCCAUUUUAGUCCUUGUAUUCGAGGUAUUGUAAAUGAGUCCCUAAGUUCACUAAACAUGUUCAACUAUUAAUCAGGGGCCGCUCGAUGACCCUAGUAAGUGGCCAAAGAUGUCCCAUCGUCUUGAGCUACAUUUAAGUUCUUAUAAGUGUGAGUGUUAUUGUGUUAAAAUAAAAAAUCAGAAAAUUGUUAAAAGAAUUAAAAAAAUUUGAAAAUAGUGGAGAAUCAAAGAUAUUCCGAGUCCACAAGUUUCUUGUGUGUCCUUAAGAAAUUUUAACCCCCUCACACGUUGCCAAGGUAAUGGAUUAAAUUCUCUCAGGAUAAAACGGAAUAAACCUUCCUACAAUAGUGGCAAUACAAACUGCAGCAUACCAAUCGAACUCAAAGAACGGAGCAAAAUCACACUUACGAAUUUGAGAGAGAGUAACUGUGAAUUAGGAUGCAGUAUAUUCAGAAAGAAAGACAUUCUGGAGUAUUUUUCGUGUUUAUAAGAUGCAGCCUUGCCUCGAAAUUUAUAGGCAAAUAUUAGAAGAUGUGUCUGGAAAAUGUGCCUUUUCAGAAAAUAUGCAGCCUGCCGCGGUUCUACCGCGAUCGCGGCAAAACCGCGGCCAGAUAUGCUCUCUGAAAGGGACUACCGCGGUUCUAUAGCGGUCGCGGCAGAAACGUGGUCCAAAAAUAAUUUUAUCGAUCGAUCAUUUGACAAAUCCAAAGCCGAAUCGAGCGACGACGACGACGGCGCGAGUGUUCAUUCUCUUCAGCUCCUGUUAAGAGCUUUAAGAAGUGAUUCAAUAUAUAAGCACACAAAUGUGGUCGUCCCUCACCAGUGAGGGACAAAGUGCAAGACAAAAGUUCACUUCUUCAAAUUUUCAUUUUCCCUCCAUUUUAUUUCCCUCCAUUUCUAAUUCACACUUCUUCUACUUUAAAGCCAAAUGGCUUAAAGUCUUCAACAAUCCCCCACAUGAAUGAGAAUGGUUGUAUCAAGAAAGAUCAUAGAUGUAAGCUAUGUGAUUUUGCAAGUAAGGAUUAAUUGCAUCUGGAUAAGUAGGUUUCUCUUUGAACUUUCCGUAAUGAACAUUUGUCGGAUAUACUUGGUCAAUCGGUAGAUUUGAUAUCUUUGAACCGUCGAACUUUAGUGUAUACCUAGACAANNNNNNNNNNNNNNNNNNNNNNNNNNNNNNNNNNNNNNNNNNNNNNNNNNNNNNNNNNNNNNNNNNNNNNNNNNNNNNNNNNNNNNNNNNNNNNNNNNNNNNNNNNNNNNNNNNNNNNNNNNNNNNNNNNNNNNNNNNNNNNNNNNNNNNNNNNNNNNNNNNNNNNNNNNNNNNNNNNNNNNNNNNNNNNNNNNNNNNNNNNNNNNNNNNNNNNNNNNNNNNNNNNNNNNNNNNNNNNNNNNNNNNNNNNNNNNNNNNNNNNNNNNNNNNNNNNNNNNNNNNNNNNNNNNNNNNNNNNNNNNNNNNNNNNNNNNNNNNNNNNNNNNNNNNNNNNNNNNNNNNNNNNNNNNNNNNNNNNNNNNNNNNNNNNNNNNNNNNNNUUUUAUUUGAGCUCCUUGAACCUAGAUCUCGGAACAACCAAAAUUCUAGGUAGAGUUACCGUCAUGUUGACUUGUCCUCGGCCAUAGUCCCAUUUCCUUAGAGGAUUUCUCAACUCCCUCUCUAGUUAAUCAUUUUGUAAGCGGAUCCACAACAUUAUCCUUUGAUCUUAUAAUCAGUAGUGAUAAUUCUACUAAAAAGUAAUUGUCUAAUGGUAUUAUAUCUUCGUCGUAUAUGACGAUAAUUUCCGUUAUGCGCAACGCUCCCUGCCCGUCCUAUUGCAACCUCACUAUCACAAUGUAUGUAGAUUGGAGCCAAAGGUUUUGGCCAGAACGGAAUGUCUUCUAAAAAAUUCCGAAGCCAUUCAGCUUCUUCACCGGCUUUAUCCAAUGCUAUAAACUCUAAUUCCAUUAUAGAGCGAGCAAUGCAUGUCUAUUUGGAAGACUUCCGAGAUACUGCUCCUCCACCAAUAGUAAUUAUCCAAUGCUAUAAAUUCUAAUUCCAUUGUAGAGCGAGCAAUGCACGUUUAUUUGGAAGACUUCCAAUAUACUGCUCCUCCACCAACAGUAAACACAUAUCCACUUGUGGACUUUGUUUCUGUUGAGCCGGAUUCUGCAUCACUAUAUCCUUCGAUAACUGCAAGAUAUUUAUUGUAGUGCAAAGCGUAGUCUUGGUUAUACUCCAAGUAUCCCAGAACCCAUUUCAUUUCCACCUAGAGAUGUUUGUUGGGAUUACUUGUGAAUUGACUAAGUUUACUUAUUGCACAAGCUAUAUCAGGUCGUGUACAGUUCAUGAUGUACAUUAAGCUUCCCAACACACGAGCAUACUCCAAUUGAGACAUACUUCAUAAUGUACAUUAAGUUUUCCAACACACGAGCAUACUCAAAUUGAGACGUAUUUUCACCUUUAUUCUUAAUAAGAUGAUGAUUUAAGUCAAUUGGAGUUAUUACACUUUUAAAUUCCAAGUGUUUGAAUUUUUCAAGUAACAUUUUCACGUAAUUUGAUUGAGACAAAGCUAGAUCCUGAGGAGUUCUCUGGAUUUUAAUUCCUAGAAUUACAUCAGCAACUCCUAAGUCUUUCAUAUAAACUUACUAGCUAGCAUACGCUUAGCAGCUUGAAUGUCGGCAAUGUCUUUGCCCAUUAUUAGCAUAUCAUCACAUAUAAGCAAACAAUGACUACAUGAUUUUGAACAUUCUUAAUGUAAACACAUUUAUCACAUUCAUUAAUCUUAAAACCAUUUGACAAUAUUAUUUGGUCAGAUUUCGCAUGUCAUUGUUUGGGUGCUUGUUUUAGUCCAUAAAGAGACUUAACAAGUCUAUACACCUUCUUUUCUUUUUCCGGAACCACAAACCCUCCAGGUUGGUUCAUGUAAAUUUCUUCCUCAAGAUCUCUAUUUAAGAAGGCUGUUUUUACAUCCAUUUGAUGGAUUUGAAGACCAUACAAGGCGGUUAACGCUGUUAGCAUCCGAAUGGAUGUAAUUCUUGUUAUCAGCGAGUAUGUGUCAAAGUAGUCAAGACCUUCUCGUUAUCUAAAUCCUUUGACAAUAAGUCUUGCCUUGUAUUUGUCAAUAGUACCAUCGUCUUUCAUUUUCUUCUUGAAAAUCCAUUUAGAACCAAACUUUUUGUUACUUGGAUGAAGAUCGACCAAUUCCCAAGUAUGAUUGCUCAAUAUGGAUUCUAUUUCACUAUCGACAGCUUCUUUCCAGUAUUGUGCGUCUGAGGAAGACAUUGCUUCCUUGAAGGUACGAGGUUCAUUUUCUAACAGAAAAGUCAGGAAAUGUGCCUCUGAGGAAGACAUUGAUUCCUUGAAGGUACGAGGUUUAUUUUCUAACAAAAAAUUCAGGAAAUCUGGACCGAAUGAAAUAGAUGUCUUUUGACAUUUACUUCUUCUCGAAUUUUCUUCAUUAGGUAUUCCACCUGUUGUUUCCUCCCGAGGUCGUUUUGACUUUUGGCAGGUCACUUCACUUUCCUUUUUAUACGGAAAGAUAGAUUCAAAGAAUUCAGCAUUAUCUGAUUCUACUAUCGUAUUAAUGUGAAUCUCAAGAUGUUCUAAUUUAUGAACCAAAAAACGAAAUGCCUUGCUAUUGGUUACAUAUCCAAUAAACACACAAUCAACCGUUUUCUGGACCUAUGUUAACCCUUUUAGGUUUACAUAAAUGUACCUUAGCUAAACACCCCCACACUUUGAAGUAUUUCAAGCUAGCUUGCUUCCUUUCCACUUCUCAUAAGGAAUGGACUGUGUUUUACUAUGAGGUACACGGUUGAUUAUUCGGUUAGCUGUAAUUAUAGCUUCCCCCCGCAAGUUCUAUGGUAACCAGAACUUAUCAGCAAUGAAUUCAUUAUCUCCUUCAAUGUUCGAUUUUUCUCUCCGCAAUUCCAUUAGAUUGUGGAGAGUAAGGGGGAAGUUGUUUGGUGAAUAAUGUCAUUUUGCAAACAUAUUUCUUCAAAAGGAGAUUCCUAUUCACCACCCCGAUCACUUCUUAUCAUUUUGAUCUUUUUAUUUAGUUGCGUUUCAACUUCAUUCUUGUAUUGCUUGAAAGCAUCAAUUGCCUCAUCUUUACUAUUAAAUAAAUAAACAUAGCAAUAUCUCGUGCUAUCGUCAAUAAAAAGUAAUAAAAUACUUUUUUCCCACCGCGAGAUGGUGUUGACUUCAUGUCGCAAAUAUCCGUAUUAAUUAAGUCUAAAGGACUUGAAUUCCUUUCAACAGACUUAUAAGGAUGCUUGUCAUACUUUGAUUCCACACAUAUUUGACAUUUAGAAUUAAUGCAAUCAAAUUUUGGCAAUACUUAUAGAUUUAUCAUUUUUCGCAAUAUUUUGAAGUUUACGUGACCUAAACGUGAAUGCCAUAAAGUGUUUGACUCAAGUAAGUAAGAAGAAGCAUUCUCUUUAUUGAUAGGAACUGCUAUUACAUUUAUCUUAAAAAGGCCCUCAUUCUGGUCGCCAUUUCCUACAUACAUAUCAUUCUUACUAAGUACAACACUACUAGAAACAAAAAUACAUUUGAAUCCAUUCUUGACAAGAGUGAAGUAGACACAAGGUUCUUGCAAAUUUCUAGAACAUGGAGCACUUGGUUUAGAGUCACUAUUUUUUCCGAUGUCAUCUUCAAUGCAAUCCUGCCAACCCCUUCAAUUUUGGCAGUUGAUGAAUUUCCCAUGAAGAUUGUCUCGUCGGGUCCUGCGGGGGUAUAAGAAGAAAAUAAUUCCUAGUUAGCACACACACGGUGGAUGGCUCCAGAAUCUAUCCGCCAUUCUUUCGGAUUUCCUACCAAGUUGCAUUCCAAAAACAUGGCACAUAUGUCCUCCAUUUCAUCUUCAACCAUGUUAGCUUAAUUCUUUUUCUUCUUAUCAUUCUUUGGCGCGUGACAAUCCACUACCUUCUGCCCAGUUUUUCCACAAUUAUGGCAAUUACCCUUGAACUUCUUCUUUCUUGGGUAAUUCUUUGGUCCAAAGGCCUUCUUCCUCUUCUUAUUUUGUGGUGCCUCCUCAACAACGUUUGCCCCCAUUAUUUUUUCGUGUCCACGUGACUUCUUUUCAGUAUUUUUGUUAUCUUCUUCUAUCCUUAGACGAACAAUCAAGUCUUCUAAUGUCAUCUCAUUUCGCUUAUGUUUAAGAUAGUUCUUAAAAUUCUUCCAUAACGGAGGUAACUUCUCAAUGAAAGCAGCGACUUGAAAGGCUUCAUUUAUGACCAUACCUUCAAUAACAAACUCAUAAUUAGUAAUAAGAUAGAUCUUAUUAAUAAAAUUAUUGGCUCGGGUCAUACCUUCGGCAAGGAGGUCAUGUACAAUAAGUUGUAGUUCUUGGACUUGAGUUAUGACCGACCUAGUGUCAAUUAUCUUGAAAUCCAGAAACCUUGCAGCCACGAACUUCUUAAGUCCGGCAUCCUCAGUCUUGUACUUCUUCUCAAGCGCAUUCCAUAAGGCUUUUGAAGUUUCCAUGACUUGUAAUUCUUGGACUUGAGUUAUGACCGACCUAGUGUCAAUCAUCUUGAAAUUCACAAAUCGUGCUGCCACGAACGUCUUAAGUCCGCAUCCUCAGUCUUGUACUUCUUCUCAAGCGCACUCCAUAACGCUUUUGAAGUUUCCAUGACACUAUAGACAUUAUACAAGUCAUCUUCCAAACAACUCAGAAUGUAGUUUCUGCACAAAAAAUCAGAAUGUUUCCAUGCUUUAGUUACAACAAGUCGUUCAUCAUCCGGAGUGUUUUCUGCCAAGACCGGAGGAUCCUCCUUGAUGAAACGUUGCAGACUCAACGUAGUACGAUAGAAGAGCAUCUUCAUUUGCUAGCAUUUGAAGUCAAUACCGAAAAACUUUUCGGGUUUUUCCGCUGGUGCCAUAGCAUGGGCAGGAGUAGAACGACUUGGUUUGAAGUCAAUACGGGAAAAAUUUUCGGGUUUUUCCGCCGGUGCCAUAGCAUGAGCAAGAGUAGAACGGCUUGUCGAAGCAACAACACUCGUAACAGUAGCACCCGUUCCCGCAGUAAUUCCAUUAGUUUGGUUUUCAUUCGUCAUGUUUCUGUAGAGUUGAAAAUAAUACAGAACUUUGUUAGUGAAGUUUUGAUAUCUUCAAACUGAAUACAAAACCAAACAUAUAACAUGUAACUAUGGUGAAGUUUUUAUAUACUUCAAACCCGUACGUUUAUUAUUCCGGCAAAAUUUUUAUAUACUUUAAACCGGACAUAAACAAUUAUUGGAGUAGAAAACAACAAGGCUUUAGUCUCCAACAAAAUAUAUAGAAAACAGUUUAAUAUAUAUAAUCAACACAGAAACGUUAGUGCAUAUAAAAUUCCUUAAGCUUGUGAGCGUUACUGUGUUACAAAAGAAAUCAGAAAACAGUUAGAAGAAUUAAAGAAAUCUGAAAAUAGUAGAGAAUCAAAGAUAUUCCGAGUCCGCAAGUUUUUUGUAUGUCCUUAAGGAAUUUUAACCCCCUCCCACGUUGUCAAGGUAAUGGAUGAAAUCCUCCUAGGAUAAAACGAAAUAAACCUUCCUACAACAGUGUCAAUACAUACUGCAGGAUACCAACGAACUCAAAGAACGGAAAAAAUCACAGUUACGAAUUUGAGAGAGAGUAACUGCGAAUUAGGAUCCAGUAUAUUCAAAAAGAAAGAAGUUCUGGAGUAUAUUUCGUGUGUAAAAGAUGCAACAUUGCCUAAGAAUUUAUAGCAAAUAUCAUAAGAGGUGUCUGGAAAAGGUGUCUUUUCAAAAAAUAUGCAGCCUGCCGCGGUUCUGCCACGAUCACGGCAGAACUGCGGCCAGAGAUGCUCUCUGAAAAGGACUGCCGCAGUUCUACAGUGGCCGCGGCAGAAAUGCGGCUAGCUAGGUUCUGGCGUAUUUUCAGCAAUGAUUUGACAUUUAAUUAAUUAUUAUAUAAUUAAAUAAAUUUUGUCCAAAAUCCAAAGCCGAAGCCGAACGACAACACAAGGAUUCAUUCUCUUCAAUUCAUUUUAAGAGUUUUAAGAAGUGAUUCUAUAUAUAAGCAUACAAAUGUGGUUGUCCCUCACCAACGAGGGACAAAGUGCAAGACAAAAGUUCACUUCUUAAAAUUUUCAUUUUCCCUCCAUUUUAUUUCCCUCCAUUUCCAAUUCAUACUUCUUCUACUUUAAAUCCAAAUGGCUUAAAGUCUUCAACAAUAACUACCUUAAAAGUUAUGAAUAAUAAUUGCAAAAGAGAGUGACAUAUCAGGAUCAUUAAAGUGGUAGAUCAACAGUAGGUGCAAUGGGUUCAAUAGAAAAUCCUCUGUCUAGCUCGGACUCUAUCUAUGUCUGUGUGAAAAGAUUGCACAUAUAUAAAGAACAGAACACACUAAUCUAAAUCCUCAUAUAAUUGCUUCAAGUAGAGGCUGACCAUGACUCACUCCGAAAACAAAAUAUAUUGGGAGGGACAGGCCCUGUAAAUAUAGAAGCCAGCAAAUUCCGAAAACGAAAAUUAAGAAGUGAGUUCAAAAGCAAAAGGUGAGAAAAGUAGCUGCAUAUUUCAGGAUGGAAAGGAUCAUAGACGUUAGGCCUCAGCUAAACAUAAAAAAGAUAGUGUAGUUUUAUUCCCGUACGUCUCUUAGGUUGGUCUAACAACUGUCCAAAAUAAAGAUUCAUUCCAAGAUAUGAAAAAAUUGCAGAAUUAUUACAAAGAUACUUUCAUCAUUAUGAUGUUGAGUAUAUGAUUCUAUUCUACUCUUACCAAAGAAACAUCAAUAAAGACACCCUAAAAUAACCAAUAGAGUAGAGUAAGCGGCACAAAAAAACAAGCUACAACCUACACAAGAAGCAGCCACAAUAUCAACAAUGUCUCUGGAAUUGGGCGCACAUCAAUCCCAACUUUGAAGCUACUGCAACCAAAACCAAAUUUUCAGUAGAUCACAAAUCAGAGGUAAUAUAAUUCGAAGAUUUUUCAUCAGAAUCCUUUUUGGAUAAACAUGUCAGAUAUUGAUGGAGUUGUUUGUUACGACACAACUUGACAAGUUGACAAUGUAUUGACACAAAAAUCAGUCCUAUUUUUGUGUUCUGUAAUUUCUUUUCUUUAUUGCUUUUCUUCUCCACCUUAGGGAUUAAGUUUUGCUUUCCGUUACCUUAAGGAAUAGUAGAGUUUAAUGUGAGAGUAUCAUGAAAACACGCUUCAUUAAUACUAAGACACAUGACAAAGAAAUUAGAACAAUCUAAGAUGAUGAGCUUUACGACAGCAGCAACAGUCAUUCAAACCGUAAGGAUAAUGAAUAUUUAAAAGGAACACCUGUUGCCUUAAAUAACAAAAGACCUUUAUUCUCCACAUUCUUAGUGGAUCUAGACCUUGUAACUAGUACGUAAGCAGACUUCAAUGAUAUGCCCAAAACUCCAAGUAAAUAUAAUGAAAUGUAGCACCGUCACACAACUUAUCAAACUUUAUGCUUUGCACCUUGAGGUGUCGAUGUUAUAAAAAAUGUUAAGGAACAAAAGACACAAGCGUACAACAUCAGAAAUAGUUUAAGAGUCACUUUUAGCGUUACUUUAAGCUGAAAAAAAAGAAAAUAAAAUCAAGGAGAUGAAGCUGAGGAAAAAAGGGUAAGCAUAUGAGGAACUUAUCCUGUCCUGACCAAUCUAUUUAUUGUCAACAACCUCAUUAAGCAACCCCCAUUUCCAACCGAGAGGUUGUGAGUUCGAGUCUUCCCAAGAGCAAGGUGAGAAGUUCUUGGAGGGAAGGAUGUCGGGGAUCUAUUUGGAAACAGCCUCUCUACCCAAAGGUAGGGAUAAGGUCUGCGUACAUACUACCCUCCCCAGACCCACUAAGUGGGAUUAUAAUGGGUUAGUUAUUGUUGUUGUUGACCUCAUUAAUGAUACAUCUAACCAAGUAUCUAUCUGGAUCAAUAUUUUAUGGUGUUAAAUACAAAAGCUAGAGCAGUCAACAAUAAUGAAAUUCUUAGCUUGGUAAACUUUCUUUAGAAUUAGAUAAAUUGAUAAUGCAGAGAGUAAAAUAAAGCCAUAACAAAAUGGAUAAUGACAAUUCUUAUUAAACAAUUCAUGAAUAGUACAGAGCAGUCUAUAUAACUAACAAUCAUUUGGCAUCCAUGUAAACCAGAAACAACAUUGUUUUAAUAAUAUUAUUAGCAAUAAAGAAAUUAUCUUGUCUUUGUCUCAUAUUUCAAAGUGGCUCUAUAUUUAAAACUGGAAAUUAUCAAUUGGGUCCAUGAUAGAUUGUAGCUAGCAGAUGUACUAAGGUAGUCUCAUGCGUGACGAAAUUAAUGGAUCAUAAAGUGACUUUGCUCUCUACUUUUAUUCAACAUAAACCCAUUCUUAUCCAUUCCUUGAAUUUUAUAACUAGAUUUGCAUCAUUAAAAAGGCCAAAAGGACACAGUUACACUAAACAACCACAACUUUUAAGUAGAGUAUAUUACAGAAAUAUCAAGAAUUGUCCCUUUCUAAAGUCUCUCCCUCCUCUUUAGAAAACCUCAGAACUUUCGUCCGGUUUGGAUCGUUAGAGGUUGAAGCAUGCCAUCAUAUCUUACCAAGAUGUGUUUUGGCACUCACAACCAAAUGAAAGGACAAGGUCAGGGUCCCAUCAAACUCCUUUAUUUAUAAGUGAAAGAUGUGAUUCCCAGAGAAUCACCUUGACUAAGAACUCAAAUGGAGUAACCGUUUGCAGAUUGCAUUAUGAGGAUCAUUGAUCAAUAAUCAAGUAACUUAUAAAGCUAAUACUUGAUUAAAAGAUUAACCAAUUAUUGAGGCUUAAGGAUGAAGAAAAAUGAGCAAAAGGGAAGUAAAACUAGGCCACAAUUCCCAGCUAGUUGGGACAAAAACUUGAUUAAGUUGAACACAUGAUUGUUGUGUAGAAAUUAAUUAUGUGCUCUCACUACCUUCUAAAACAAAAGAAAGAAGAAAGGAAGGGGAAGUUGAAUAAUGGGCAUAUAUCAGGUACAAGUGACAGUACCACAAAUUGAGUUCCCCAUCAUGAUGACCACGGCACCUGAAACUUUCAAUAAACAAUGGCUUUAUGUUUGAGAGGUCUUGGGCUUGAGUUGAUUGGUAGCCAAUUGGCCAUACGAAUUGCACACGAAAGCCACGCGCAAUGACUGCUAGCAGAAUCCCACUUCAGAAACCUACCGUGCAUUUGCGUUUUCUUUGUCUUCCAUCUUUUGUACUUUCUUAGUUUCUUCCCUUACAACAACAAC
RNAcentral lists this long non-coding RNA (11520 nucleotides) under Nicotiana benthamiana. RNAcentral describes it as "long non-coding RNA (NBEN_LNC018137)". Lineage: Eukaryota; Viridiplantae; Streptophyta; Magnoliopsida; Solanales; Solanaceae. The record is from RNAcentral.